CAGGCCUAACACAUGCAAGUCGAACGGCACCUUCGGGUGUAGUGGCGGACGGCUGAGUAACACGUGGGUGACCUGCCCUCGAGCGGGGGAUAACUGCCCGAAAGGGUGGCUAAUACCGCAGAUGUCGGUGCUUCGGUGUGCUGACUGAACUUGAGGGGCUCGGGGAGGGGCCCGCGGUCGAUUAGCUGGUUGGUGGGGUAACGGCCUACCAAGGCGACGAUCGAUAGCUGGUCUGAGAGGAUGAUCAGCCAGACUGGGACUGCGAACGGCCCAGACUCCUACGGGAGGCAGCAGUUAGGAAUUUUGGGCAAUGGGCGAAUGCCUGACCCAGCAACGCCGCGUGGGUGAUGAAGGCUCUCGGGUCGUAAAGCCCUUUUCCCAGGGACGAUGAUGACGGUACCUGGGGAAUCAGCCCCGGCUAACUACGUGCCAGCAGCCGCGGUAAU
This 446-nucleotide ribosomal RNA is filed under the name uncultured bacterium. RNAcentral's name for it is "bacterial SSU rRNA". It matches the Rfam family "Bacterial small subunit ribosomal RNA", at positions 43 to 524 of the family's 1533-position model. The record is from RNAcentral.